This 509-nucleotide ribosomal RNA is filed under the name uncultured bacterium. Its description in RNAcentral is "bacterial SSU rRNA". It matches the Rfam family "Bacterial small subunit ribosomal RNA", at positions 16 to 518 of the family's 1533-position model. The record is from RNAcentral.
AUUAUGGCUCAGGAUGAACGCUAGCGGCAGGCUUAACACAUGCAAGUCGAGGGGCAUCGGGAGUAGCAAUACUGCCGGCGACCGGCGCAAGGGUGCGUAACGCGUGAGCAACAUGCCCGUAUCAGGGGGAUAAUCCAUGGAAACGUGGUCUAAUACCCCAUAGUAAUUAUGUAAGGCAUCUUAUAUAAUUUAAAGCUUUGGUGGAUACGGAUUGGCUCGCGUGACAUUAGCUGGAUGGUAAGGUAACGGCUUACCAUGGCUACGAUGUCUAGGGGUUCUGAGAGGAAGGUCCCCCCACACUGGAACUGAGACACGGUCCAGACUCCUACGGGAGGCAGCAGUGAGGAAUAUUGGACAAUGGAUGGAAAUCUGAUCCAGCCAUGCCGCGUGCAAGGGAAGACGGCCCUAUGGGUUGUAAACUGCUUUUGUAUGGGAGCAAUAAGGGCUACGUGUAGUCCGAUGAGAGUACCAUACGAAUAAGCACCGGCUAACUCCGUGCCAGCAGCGGC